GACGAACGCUGGCGGCGUGCUUAACACAUGCAAGUCGAACGAAGUUGCGAACGGGUGAGUAACGCGGAAUCAACCUGCCCUUCAGAGGGGGACAACAGUUGGAAACGACUGCUAAUAUCGCAUACCGACCGAGGGGAUUGCGUCUGAUGAUCUAGUUGGAGGGGUAACGGCCCACCAAGGCGAUGAUCAGUAACCUGUCUGAUAUGAUGAACGGCCACAUUGGGACUGAGACACGGCCCAGACUCCUACGGGAGGCAGCAGUGGGGAAUCUUCCGCAAUGGACGAAAGUCUGACGGAGCAACGCCGCGUGAGUGAUGACGGCCUUCGGGUUGUAAAGCUCUGUUAAUCGGGACGCGGUACCGGAAUAGAAAGCCACGGCUAACUACGUGCCAGCAGCCGCGGUAAUUC
Molecule: ribosomal RNA, 408 nt
Filed under: uncultured bacterium
Lineage: Bacteria
Description: partial 16S ribosomal RNA
Rfam family: Bacterial small subunit ribosomal RNA
Source: RNAcentral